RNAcentral lists this ribosomal RNA (633 nucleotides) under uncultured Resinicium. RNAcentral's name for it is "eukaryotic LSU rRNA". The stretch from base 216 to 369 matches the Rfam family "5.8S ribosomal RNA". Lineage: Eukaryota; Fungi; Basidiomycota; Agaricomycetes; Hymenochaetales. The record is from RNAcentral.
GGAAGUAAAAGUCGUAACAAGGUUUCCGUAGGUGAACCUGCGGAAGGAUCAUUAACGAGUUUUUAAUUGUUAGAUUAGAGUUGAGCUGGUUAACUUUGUUAACAUCAGUGCUCGCUUUAGUUGACAAGUCCACUCAUCAUUUAACACUUGUGAACUUAUUCAUUAUAAACAUUAUCAUUUGUUAUUGGAACGUUUGAAUCAUAACAAGUUAAUACAACUUUCAACAACGGAUCUCUUGGUUCUCGCAUCGAUGAAGAACGCAGCGAAAUGCGAUAAGUAAUGUGAAUUGCAGAAUUCAGUGAAUCAUCGAAUCUUUGAACGCACCUUGCGCUCCCUGGUAUUCCGGGGAGCAUGCCUGUUUGAGUGUCGUGAAAUCAUCAUGGUCAUGAUCUUUAAUUAAUCAUGGCUUGGUUUUGGAGGUUAUGUUGGCUUUUUAUUAAGUUGACUCCUCUUAAAUACAUUAGCUCAGUGUUUAAUGCUUAGAGCGGUUCACGGUGUGAUAAUUAUCUACACUUCAACCAAUUUAAGUUAGCUGGCUUCUAAUUGAUCCUUAGUGAUCACUUUGUGUAUUUGACCUCAAAUCAGGUAGGACUACCCGCUGAACUUAAGCAUAUCAAUAAGCGGAGGAAAGGG